RNAcentral lists this small RNA (149 nucleotides) under Sinorhizobium meliloti 2011. Its description in RNAcentral is "putative ncRNA". Lineage: Bacteria; Pseudomonadati; Pseudomonadota; Alphaproteobacteria; Hyphomicrobiales; Rhizobiaceae. The record is from RNAcentral.
CUGAACCGGCAGAACGUCCACAUUCGGGAUGUUCUGGGCGGCGAGCUUGAAGUUGCCUUCGAUCUCGGCUCCGCCGAUGAUCAGGGCGUUGGUGAGGCCGAGCGAGGCGAAUGCACCGGCGAGCGCCUUCGUCUUUGCUUCGUUGGCUA